Molecule: ribosomal RNA, 1553 nt
Filed under: Craugastor uno
Lineage: Eukaryota; Metazoa; Chordata; Amphibia; Anura; Craugastoridae
Description: partial 16S ribosomal RNA
Rfam family: Bacterial large subunit ribosomal RNA
Source: RNAcentral
CCAAAAACUUAGCCUUAACCAAUAUUAUGACUCCUUCAUAACUUUAUCCAAUAACUAAAAUAUUUCAAAAACUUAGUAAAGAGGAUUGAAAACUAAAUUAGAGCUAUUAAAGUACCGCAAGGGAAAAAUGAAAUAUAAUGAAAAUUUAAGCACAAAAAAGUAGAGCUUUACCCUCGUACCUUUUGCAUCAUGGUUUAACUAGUCUAAUCAAGCAAAAAGACUUUAAGUUUGACAUCCCGAAACUAAGUGAGCUACUUCGAGGCAGCUUAAAGAGCUAACCCGUCUCUGUUGCAAAAGAAUGGGAAGACCUCCAAGUAGAAGUGACAGACCUACCGAACUUAGUGAUAGCUGGUUACUCAAGAAAAGAAUUUUAGUUCAACCUAAAGACACUUUAAUUAAUAAAAAAAUCGCUUUAGAGCUAUUCAAAUAAGGUACAGCUUAUUUGAAACAGGACACAACCUAUGCCAAUGGGUAAUUUCUUUCCUUUCCCCAAAAAUAAGUGGGCCUAAGAGCAGCCACCUUUCAAAAUACGUCAUAGCUUAUUUUUCCCAUCACACUACACAAAAAACCCCCCAUCCCUACUGAGUAAUUCUAUAUUUUAUAGAAAAUUUUAUGUUAAAACUAGUAACAAGAAGUCAACCUUCUCUCAUAUUCGAACAUACGCCAGCAAAGGAUAACCCACUGGCAAUUAACGGCUCUAGCCAUAAUGGCACCCCAACGAGAAAACCCCAAUUCUUCAACCGUUAACCUAACACAAGAGCAUAUCGAGAAAGAUUAAAAGAAAGAGAAGGAACUCGGCAAAUCAAAUCCCGCCUGUUUACCAAAAACAUCGCCUCUUGCACUAAAUAAGAGGUCCAGCCUGCCCAGUGACUCACGUUCAACGGCCGCGGUAUACUAACCGUGCAAAGGUAGCACAAUCACUUGUUUCUUAAAUGGAGACUAGUAUGAAAGGCCUCACGAGGAUUUAACUGUCUCCUCUCCCCAAUCAGUGAAACUAAUAUCCCUGUGAAAAAGCAAGGAUAAUUUUAUAAGACGAGAAGACCCUAUGGAGCUUUAAACACUAUAACAACUGCCUCACACUCUAAUCUUCCUGAAGAAUUACUUACAGCAUCUUGAUUAUAAGGUUUUUGGUUGGGGUGACCGCGGAGAAAAAAUAUCCUCCACAAUGAAACACCUAAAGUUUACACUAAGAAAAACAGCUCUAUGAAUCAAUAAAUUGACAUUAAUUGACCCAAAUAUUUGAUCAAUGAACCAAGUUACCCUAGGGAUAACAGCGCAAUCUACUUUGAAAGUACAUAUCGACAAGUAGGCUUACGACCUCGAUGUUGGAUCAGGGUUUCCAAGUGGUGCAGCCGCUACUAAAGGUUCGUUUGUUCAACGACUAAUACCCUACGUGAUCUGAGUUCAGACCGGAGUAAUCCAGGUCGGUUUCUAUCUAUAAAGAGCACUCCCCAGUACGAAAGGACCGGGAAAGCGCGGCCAAUAAAAUAUUUAAGCCUCCAAAAUAACUUAUGAUUAUCCUCUUAAUAACCUAUUUUUCUACCCCCAUCCUC